GAAGAACAGGUAGUUAGGUAUGGCAGCCUGUUGCUAGGACACCAGAAGAACAGGUAGUUAGGUCUGGCAGCCUGUUGCUAGGACACCAGAAGAACAGGUAGUUAGGUCUGGCAGCCUGUUGCUAGGACACCAGAAGAACAGGUAGUUAGGUCUGGCAGCCUGUUGCUAGGACACCAGAAGAACAGGUAGUUAGGUCUGGCAGCCUGUUGCUAGGACACCAGAAGAACAGGUAGUUAGGUCUGGCAGCCUGUUGCUAGGACACCAGAAGAACAGGUAGUUAGGUCUGGCAGCCUGUUGCUAGGACACCAGAAGAACAGGUAGUUAGGUCUGGCAGCCUGUUGCUAGGACACCAGAAGAACAGGUAGUUAGGUCUGGCAGCCUGUUGCUAGGACACCAGAAGAACAGGUAGUUAGGUCUGGCAGCCUGUUGCUAGGACACCAGAAGAACAGGUAGUUAGGUCUGGCAGCUUGUUUCUCUGACACCAGAAGAACAGGUAGUUAGGUAUGGCAGCCUGUUGCUAGGACACCAGAAG
Molecule: long non-coding RNA, 532 nt
Organism: Oncorhynchus keta (chum salmon)
Lineage: Eukaryota; Metazoa; Chordata; Actinopteri; Salmoniformes; Salmonidae
Exons: 3
Source: RefSeq, a predicted model, not a curated record